CAGAUUCCAAUCCGGACGCAACGACCCGAGCUGUUCCUCCAGCCCGAGCGCGCACCCCACCCCAUCUUGCAUCUCGCAGAUUCCCUCUCCUCUUCCUCCAGUAGCACAACAUGCUCACCGGUCGCCCCUGCUCCUCCAUCUCUCCUUGUCUUUGAGCAGCACGACCACCGCAUCCUCCUCUCCACCCAUGUGACCCCCUCGCGAGAUAGGAGGUGCGCCAUCCUGGCAUAAAGGGGUCGAGCUUCCCAUGCUCAACUGCGAUUUGUGCUUCGGCAGGUUAUAAAUCGGCUGGAUCGGCUGCCGGAGAAUCACCGACCGGUACAUCUAGAGAUCUAAGGUACUGCACUGCGUCGAUCGCCCCUGAUUUGAUGAUUUGUAAUUUUUGCAACGCAAUUCUGUUUGUAUUUCAUUCAACAGCUGAUUACUCAUUGUUAUUUCAUCCAACAACUGAUUGCAACAGCUGAUUUCUUGCAUUGCUUCCUGUAUACAGGCUUCCAAAUAUAUGUAUCCAUAGUGGCAGCAAAUCUUUUCUUGUUUUAUUUUUCAAAUUUCCAUGCUUCCACCAAACACGAGUAAUGCACCCUAUGCAUUAUUUCCUAGCUUCAUACCUAUGUGCUUCUACAUUGCACUCAUUUUGCUACCGUCGUCUAGAAAAUUGCUUCCAUGCCUUCCUAUUAUAAUGGUUUAUAAUAGGUUCAGUUUGUAUUGUGGUUACACAAAAAGAUCCAACCUCAUAAUAUUCACAUGCCUUCAUCUUAUAUUGUUUGAUAUCUCUAUGUGCGUAUGUUGCUUUAUUCAGUUCUCGGGGGCUGAUUAUGUUCUCUACAAUAUGUAGUUGAUCACCAAAUCAUCAAGAAUAUACAUGUAUUUGGAUUGUGCAUAUAUUGCUCUUUUUUCUUUCAAAUAUCCAUGCUUCAAAGUACUGCUUAUGUAUCAAGAGCACUAUUUUCAUGCUUCUUAUCCAUUGGGCUUCUAUACUGUAAUACAUAUGCUUCUUCUUUUUUUGCGGAUGAAUACAUAUGCUUCUUCGAUCCAUAGAGUUUCUUCAAUUAGUAAAUAACAACCGGCUGAAUAGCACGAAAUUAGUGGCCUCUUCUUAACAUGCUUCCUUGAUUUUUACUGUAAUACAUAUGCUUCUUGUGAAUCAUGCUUCCUUGGUUUUUACUUUAAUACAUAUGCUUCUUCGGUCCAUAGAGUAUGCUUCAAUUAGUGAAUAACAACCGGUUGAAUAGCACGAAAUUAGUGGUUUCUUGUUAAUCAUGCUUCGUUGAUUUUUACUAUAUGCUUCUCCUGUAGACAUGUAGUGCCACAACAGAACAAUGUUAAGUGAACAUUAAAUUUGGGCACCCAAAUCUUGCCUGCCAAGCGUGUAGAUUUAUCAUAUCAAAAUAAUAUUAUUUUAGUGCGUAAUAGCAUCAAAUCAUUUAUUUUAUGUUAGCCAUGCUUUCUUCCUUGUGAAUUCUCACAUAUGUUUCUAUGCCGACAAGGAGGAGCUAGGGGAUCGAGGCUGGAUGCGUCUACUUCAGAGACGAUGAGUCGAAUCGACACAAAGACCCCCAUGGCUGAGAAGUCCGAGUUAUCAGUGUAUACAAAGCAAUGAAGAUCGAAGCACUUGGGCAAGGGCACCUCAGCUUAUACCUGUUGGCACCGUGGAUAACACCCUGCAUCACAUGAUGGCUAGGUCACAUUUGAAUUAGCGAAAUUUGACGCAUGGAAGCAAUUUGACUUUGUCUUGAAGCAUACUCUCCAUUUGACAGUAGCGUUUUUUUCUUUCUUUGCAAACAAAUCCUUAAUUUGAAUUAGAACCGUGUGUAAUUGUGAUUGGAAAUAUCUUUCUCUUUGGUGGAAGCAAUAUAAUUUUUGGUUGAAAGCAAA
Molecule: long non-coding RNA, 1875 nt
Filed under: Triticum aestivum (bread wheat)
Lineage: Eukaryota; Viridiplantae; Streptophyta; Magnoliopsida; Poales; Poaceae
Description: long non-coding RNA (TAES_LNC022740)
Source: RNAcentral